GACAGAGGGUGCAAACGUUGCUCGGAAUUACUGGGCGUAAAGCGCGUGUAGGCGGGCUGGAAAGUCGGGUGUGAAAUCCCCAGGCUUAACCUGGGAACUGCAUUCGAGACUGCAUUGCUAGAGUAUGGGAGAGGGAAGUGGAAUUUCCGGUGUAGCGGUGAAAUGCGUAGAUAUCGGAAGGAACAUCAGUGGCGAAAGCGACUUCCUGGACCAAUACUGACGCUCAUGUGCGAAAGCGUGGGGAGCAAACAGG
RNAcentral lists this ribosomal RNA (253 nucleotides) under uncultured bacterium. RNAcentral's name for it is "partial 16S ribosomal RNA". It matches the Rfam family "Bacterial small subunit ribosomal RNA", at positions 524 to 776 of the family's 1533-position model. The record is from RNAcentral.